Long non-coding RNA from Folsomia candida, 462 nucleotides. RefSeq lists it as uncharacterized. Lineage: Eukaryota; Metazoa; Arthropoda; Collembola; Entomobryomorpha; Isotomidae. The transcript has 2 exons. The record is from RefSeq and is a predicted model, not a curated record.
UCCUGUCAACUACGGUUCUUAAUUACCCUGAGUGGAUGUUUAAUACAAAUUGUUCCUAGUAUAAAUAAGCUUUGAGGAGAAAACUUAUCCAGAACAUAACUAUCACACCGAUUUGUUAAAAAUCUUAAUUUUUUCGAAACUCAGAAACAAUGAUUUCCAAAAUUAUACUCUUCCUCCUUGUCCAAUCAAUUUUCACAUCGCAAGUGGAAUCCAUCCCAUCAUUCAAAGGGGACGCAAAUCUUGAGAGGGCCCGACUUUACGUCGGGAACGAGUAUGUCGAAUGCGUCGCCUCGUCUGACUGUUCUAUAGAUACAUGUAGCACAUGUAUCGAAAAUCAAUGCAUUGAGCUAUUUGACUGUGAAUACGACUAAAUUUGACUCCGGAUGGCCCCCUUGAAACGCGUCGAUGGAUUUGAAAAUAUUUCUAAACAAACUUUUUAAUCAUUAAAAAAUACGAGCAAAA